This is a long non-coding RNA of Lotus japonicus, 779 nucleotides long. RefSeq lists it as uncharacterized. The record is from RefSeq and is a predicted model, not a curated record. Lineage: Eukaryota; Viridiplantae; Streptophyta; Magnoliopsida; Fabales; Fabaceae. The transcript has 2 exons.
CACCCCCAAUUUAUGGUAAAACUCCCUUUGAGUGUUUACCGAUUGGGUUUCUGGGAAGGGGGUGGGGUGGGUUGCGGUGGUGGUUGGAGGUGGGUGGGUUUCUGGUUUUUGGGGUGGGGGUGGGGUGGGAUGCGGUGGUGGCCAGCAGUCAGUGGUGGCCAGCAGUCGGUGGUGGGCGUUGGGUGAUGGCGGUGGAGCAGAGCGGCGCGACGGUGAGGCUGUGGAUUAGGUCUCCGUAAUGGGGGUGGGGGUCGAUUUGCGGUUGUGGGUUGCGGUAGGGAUGAAGUGAGGUUGGGUUGCGGUGGCUGUUUGAGAAGGUUUGAUUUUGCAGAAAAAUUAGAUCUCUGGGUUUGUUUAUGAGUUCGAUUUCUGGAUUUUGUUUCCAGAUCUGAGAAGAGAAGCACAAAUUGAUGGAGCGUUGGAGGAUCACUUCAAGAGCUCAAGGAGUGUCUGAGGUUGUUCCUUGGUUCUUCACUGUAUCCGCUAGCUGUUCAAAAUCAAUCCCUUUUGAGUUUUGUAAUUAAUUUUGGCUUCACUCUCAGGUUAAAUUACUAGCUGGUACCAUUGUUAAAUUACGCCAUCGAGAGUGUUCCAGACCUGAAGGCUUACCUAGGUUCCAGGUUCUCCUUGAAGUCUAGCAUGAAGCCUCACGAGCUUAAAUUCUAGAGGGAAAAGUGUUAGAAUCGUUUUGAUAUUCUGUUUUUGUAUUGAUCUUGGACCUAAAACUGUAGAAUGCUACUUUUAUGUUGCCAACAGAUUGUUUCAGGGAUUUCCUUGAA